Molecule: ribosomal RNA, 637 nt
Filed under: uncultured bacterium
Lineage: Bacteria
Description: bacterial SSU rRNA
Rfam family: Bacterial small subunit ribosomal RNA
Source: RNAcentral
GCUCAACCGAAGAAGUGCAUUGGAAACUGGGAGACUUGAGUGCAGAAGAGGACAGUGGAACUCCAUGUGUAGCGGUGAAAUGCGUAGAUAUAUGGAAGAACACCAGUGGCGAAGGCGGCUGUCUGGUCUGCAACUGACGCUGAGGCUCGAAAGCAUGGGUAGCGAACAGGAUUAGAUACCCUGGUAGUCCAUGCCGUAAACGAUGAUUACUAAGUGUUGGAGGGUUUCCGCCCUUCAGUGCUGCAGCUAACGCAUUAAGUAAUCCGCCUGGGGAGUACGACCGCAAGGUUGAAACUCAAAAGAAUUGACGGGGGCCCGCACAAGCGGUGGAGCAUGUGGUUUAAUUCGAAGCUACGCGAAGAACCUUACCAGGUCUUGACAUCUUCUGACAGUCUAAGAGAUUAGAGGUUCCCUUCGGGGACAGAAUGACAGGUGGUGCAUGGUUGUCGUCAGCUCGUGUCGUGAGAUGUUGGGUUAAGUCCCGCAACGAGCGCAACCCUUAUUACUAGUUGCCAGCAUUAAGUUGGGCACUCUAGUGAGACUGCCGGUGACAAACCGGAGGAAGGUGGGGACGACGUCAAAUCAUCAUGCCCCUUAUGACCUGGGCUACACACGUGCUACAAUGGAUGGUACAACG